RNAcentral lists this long non-coding RNA (289 nucleotides) under dengue virus type 1. RNAcentral's name for it is "Dengue virus 1 partial sfRNA1". The stretch from base 149 to 220 matches the Rfam family "Flavivirus DB element". The record is from RNAcentral. Lineage: Riboviria; Orthornavirae; Kitrinoviricota; Flasuviricetes; Amarillovirales; Flaviviridae.
AAGAAGUCAGGCCGGAUUAAGCCAUAGUACGGUAAGAGCUAUGCUGCCUGUGAGCCCCGUCUAAGGACGUAAAAUGAAGUCAGGCCGAAAGCCACGGCUUGAGCAAACCGUGCUGCCUGUAGCUCCAUCGUGGGGAUGUAAAAACCUGGGAGGCUGCAACCCAUGGAAGCUGUACGCAUGGGGUAGCAGACUAGUGGUUAGAGGAGACCCCUCCCGAAACAUAACGCAGCAGCGGGGCCCAACACCAGGGGAAGCUGUACCCUGGUGGUAAGGACUAGAGGUUAGAGGA